RNAcentral lists this ribosomal RNA (230 nucleotides) under uncultured bacterium. RNAcentral's name for it is "partial 16S ribosomal RNA". It matches the Rfam family "Bacterial small subunit ribosomal RNA", at positions 91 to 339 of the family's 1533-position model. The record is from RNAcentral.
AUUCGUGGCGGACGGGUGAGUAUAAUAUAGAUAUCUACCGAGCACUGGGGGAUAACAGUUAGAAAUGACUGAUAAUACCGCAUACGCCAUAUUGGGAAAACUACGGUGGUGUUCGAUGAGUCUAUACUGGAUUAGCUAGUUGGUGGGGUAAAAGCCUACCAAGGCUACGAUCUAUAGCUGGUUUGAGAGGAUGAUCAGCCACACUGGGACUGAGACACGGCCCAGACUCC